GACGUAGGGCGCGAGCGUUGUCCGGAUUUAUUGGGCGUAAAGAGCUCGUAGGCGGCUUGUCGCGUCGUUCGUGAAAACCCGGGGCUCAACUCCGGGCUUGCGGGCGAUACGGGCAGGCUAGAGUUCGGUAGGGGAGACUGGAAUUCCUGGUGUAGCGGUGAAAUGCGCAGAUAUCAGGAGGAACACCGGUGGCGAAGGCGGGUCUCUGGGCUGACACUGACGCUCAUGCACGAAAGCGUGGGGAGCAAACAGG
This 253-nucleotide ribosomal RNA is filed under the name uncultured bacterium. RNAcentral describes it as "partial 16S ribosomal RNA". It matches the Rfam family "Bacterial small subunit ribosomal RNA", at positions 524 to 776 of the family's 1533-position model. The record is from RNAcentral.